Molecule: ribosomal RNA, 570 nt
Filed under: Saccharomyces sp. ZB12043140-26s-3
Lineage: Eukaryota; Fungi; Ascomycota; Saccharomycetes; Saccharomycetales; Saccharomycetaceae
Description: eukaryotic LSU rRNA
Rfam family: Eukaryotic large subunit ribosomal RNA
Source: RNAcentral
ACUCCGGGCAUCCUUAGUACGGCGAGUGAAGCGCCUCAGCUCAAUUUGACUAUGGACCUUCGGUGCCCGAGUUGUAAUUUGGAGAUGGCAACUUUGGGGCCGUUCCUUGUCUAUGUUCCUUGGAACAGGACGUCAUACAGGGUGAUUUCCCGUGUGGCCCGGAGUGCGGCUUUUCGUAAAGUGAUUUCUAAGAGUCGAGUUGUUUGGGAAUGCAGCUCUAAGUGGGUGGUAAAUUCCAUCUAAAGCUAAAUAUUGGCGAGAGACCGAUAGCGAACAAGUACAGUGAUGGAAAGAUGAAAAGAACUUUGAAAAGAGAGUGAAAAAGUACGUGAAAUUGUUGAAAGGGAAGGGCAUUUGAUCAGACAUGGUGUUUUGUGCCCUCUGCUCCUUGUGGGUAGGGGAAUCUCGCAUUUCACUGGGCCAGCAUCAGUUUUGGUGGCAGGAUAAAUCCAUAGGAAUGUAGCUUGCCUCGGUAAGUAUUAUAGCCUGUGGGAAUACUGCCAGCUGGGACUGAGGACUGCGACGUAAGUCAAGGAUGCUGGCAUAAUGGUUAUAUGCCGCCCGUCUGAA